RNAcentral lists this small RNA (42 nucleotides) under Propionibacterium australiense. RNAcentral describes it as "CRISPR_Spacer". The record is from RNAcentral. Lineage: Bacteria; Bacillati; Actinomycetota; Actinomycetes; Propionibacteriales; Propionibacteriaceae.
CUGUACAUCAGAUCGGUAUACAGCCGUGGUGACACAGCUGAA